CUUGAGGGGGGGGGGGGAGUUCCCUCAGCCCAGAUUGCGAGAGGGCACAGGCCAGGCUGAGGGACCCCACCAGUGCAUG
This is a non-coding RNA of Myotis lucifugus (little brown bat), 79 nucleotides long. Lineage: Eukaryota; Metazoa; Chordata; Mammalia; Chiroptera; Vespertilionidae. The record is from Rfam.